AUUCCCCUAGUAACGGCGAGUGAAGAGGGAAGAGCCCAAGAUUGAAAGCUGGCGUCUUCGGCGUCCGCAUUGUAAUCUCAAGAAGUGUUUUCCGCUUCGGACCAUGCCUAAGUCCCUUGGAAAAGGGCAUCAUAGAGGGUGAUAAUCCCGUACAUGGCAUGGAGCGCCCGAGGCUUUGUGAUACACUUUCUAAGAGUCGAGUUGUUUGGGAAUGCAGCUCAAAAUGGGUGGUAAAUGCCAUCUAAGGCUAAAUAUUGGGGAGAGACCGAUAGCGAACAAGUACAGUGAUGGAAAGAUGAAAAGAACUUUGAAAAGAGAGUUAAACAGUACGUGAAAUUGCCAAAAGGGAAGGGUAGGAGGUCAGAGAUGCGUCUUGGGAUUCAGCCUUGCUUUUGCUUGGUGUUUUUCCCAAGUUGCAGGCCAACGUCGGUUUUGGGCACUGGAGAAGGGUGGAAGGAACGUGGCACCUCUCGGGGUGUGUUAUAGCCUUCUACUGGAUACAGCGACCGAGACCGAGGACAGCAGCGUACUCGCAAGAGCGGGCCUUCGGGCACCUUUACGCUUAGGGCGUUGGCAUAAUGGCCCUCUACCACCCGUCUUGAAACACGGACCAAGGAGUCUAACAUGUAUGCGAGUCUUUGGGUGGCAAACCCAUAGGCGCAAUGAAAGUGAAUUCAGGUGGGAUCCGCAAGGUGCACCAUCGACCGAUCCUCACGUCUUUAAAGUCGUGGAUUUGAGUAAGAGCAUACCUGUUGGGACCCGAAAGAUGGUGAACUAUGCCUGAAUAGGGUGAAGCCAGAGGAAACUCUGGUGGAGGCUCGUAGCGGUUCUGACGUGCAAAUCGAUCGUCAAAUUUGGGUAUAGGGGCGAAAGACUAAUCGAACCAUUUUAAUAAUUACUAGGUGGUUAAGAGGUGGCUAAAAGGGCACACCUAGUGGGCGCUGAAGCUCGCGACACUGUCAAAAUGCGGGGACACCCUAAAGCUUUCAAUACCAAGCCGGCGUGGAAACACAGUCGGUGGCCGAGUUAACAACCCUGGGUAUGGUAAAAACUUGAAAGAUGUUACAAUGGGCAAUCCGCAGCCAAGCUCUAAGGGCGUCAGCCUAUGAGUGCAGUUCACAGACUAGAUGGCAGUGGGUUUCGUCUUUUUUUGGACGAGGCUUAAGAUAUAGUCGGUCCUCUCUCGAAAGGGAGCCGGAGGAAAAAAGAUCGAGGUUCUUCAGCAAUAGACCUCUUUCCGGAGCCUCUGGGAAUUAAUUUUUUCUUUUCUUUUUCGAAAA
Molecule: ribosomal RNA, 1280 nt
Filed under: Anthracocystis walkeri
Lineage: Eukaryota; Fungi; Basidiomycota; Ustilaginomycetes; Ustilaginales; Ustilaginaceae
Description: LSU rRNA
Rfam family: Eukaryotic large subunit ribosomal RNA
Source: RNAcentral